This is a long non-coding RNA of Zalophus californianus (California sea lion), 1792 nucleotides long. RefSeq lists it as uncharacterized. The transcript is spliced from 3 exons. The record is from RefSeq and is a predicted model, not a curated record. Lineage: Eukaryota; Metazoa; Chordata; Mammalia; Carnivora; Otariidae.
GAGCAGUCUGAGUCUCUCCAGGCACAUGUAAUAGCAUGAUGACCUUCAUGAUCAGAAGCUGUGGUGAGCAUCUCACUAAAGUCCCUACUGAAGCAGAACUGAAGCUCCUUACCCAUUGAACAACUCUCCAUUCCUUCUUCCCCCCAGCCCCCGACAACCACCAUUCUACUCUCUGUCUCGAAGAAUUUGAUCACUCUGGAUGCCUCUUGUAAGGUUGUGUUCUCUGGCUUCUACACCUGUCAGGUAUAUGCCUGCUCAGGAAUGGGCUGACUCCCUGGAAUCUGAGGCAAAGAGAGAAGGAAGGAGGAGAAGAAGUAAGGAGGAACAACACAGGCUUCUGUCAAAGAAAGGUCAAGAACAACAAGAUUCCGAGCAGAAGCAACAGCAAAAGCAUCUUUCAUCGUUAGGGCACUUCAAGGUUCACAAAGCACCUUCACCUUCAUUACCCUCCAUAACUUACGGGACAUCCUUUCCUGGAAACUGGGACAGAUAUUAUUAUCACCAGUUUACAAGUGAGAAAACUGAGCUCAGACAUAUUUAAGUGACUUGGCCAGACUCACACAUGCUCAGAAGUCUAAGAGCCAUUGUUAACAUUCCUAUUCACCUAUGACGUCUUCCAUUCAGGUGUUUAGAAAAAAAGCUUAGAAUCUUUGCCUCAAGAAAUUUUGAGGCACACACAAACCUGAUAGACUCUCAGAGUUCUUGAAACUACCUCCAUUCAUUUGUUAAAUUAUUUAUGGAAGACUAAAGGAUAUUUGCUACCACCACCAAUAUCUCAGCUUCUCCCAGAGCAUGAAAGACAUGUGAAGUAGAUUAGGAGGAUUCUAGUGCUUUUUUUCAUAAACAUGUUGGCAUUUACUAGCAGGGAGUCCACGGAUGUCUUACCAUGAUCCUGGGAUAUCUGCCUCACCUUUGGUCAUUAAUUAGCCUUGCGUCAUUGGUAUAUUGCAGCUCUCGUUUCCAACUCUGGACCAUCUAGUCUAAAAAUGGUUGAGUGAUUUAUACCUAGUGUAGUACAGAUUGCACUAGGACUCUUUCUUUUUUCUCUCUUUUCAAGGAAUUAUACCAGCAAAUUCGUAUCUAUAUCAGUAGUUUUAAAACUUUUCAUUUUUACCAGAAGAAUACCUUUAAAAAAAAAAAAAGAAUCUUAUGUGGAGCCCAACCACACAACACAGAUAAAAAUGGAACUGGUCUGGUCGAAAGGGAGGAGAUGGGAGACGUGGAGCUGCCAGGAUCCCAGCUACUUGGCAAGCCCCUUACCUCUCACAGGGUAAACUUAAGGCCCUUCUCUUGAACCCUAUAACUCCAAAGAACUGGGAGAAACUACUGGCCUGUAUAAUAAAAUUAAAACAUCAAUUUAUCCUUCCUUUUGUCCAAACAAUAUUUACUGAGUCCCCACUCUGUGUGAGAUACUGUGUUAGAUCUUCCGGGGGUUGGGGGACAGCGGUAACAGAUAGAGGGGAGAAUACGGAGAUGGGACACACCUCAAGUAGUUCACAAUUUAGGAGGAAUAAGUCCACUAAGGACUAUCUACAGUAUAGGGUAGAAAGGAAAUGCCACAACAGAGGUUCAGAUCCAGGGCCUUUAGAAGCAUUCUCCCGACAUGAGGGCUCUAGCUCAAGUUCAUAGAGUACAACAGUAAUACCAUAACUACGGACGGGGCCUUGGUCCUGCUGAAGCAUCCAAGAAAAAUUUCAGUGCAUGAAAGUUAUCUCUGAGAGGAAAGAUUAUGGCCAGCUUCUAAUUGUCAUCAUGCUUUGUAAAAAAUAAUUUUCAAGUUUCUACACAUUAU